Molecule: unclassified non-coding RNA, 378 nt
Filed under: plant metagenome
Description: partial contains 5.8S ribosomal RNA, internal transcribed spacer 2, and large subunit ribosomal RNA
Rfam family: 5.8S ribosomal RNA (bases 1-105)
Source: RNAcentral
GAAAUGCGAUACUUGGUGUGAAUUGCAGAAUUCAGUGAAUCAUCGAAUCUUUGAACGCACCUUGCGCUCCUUGGUAUUCCUUGGAGCAUGCCUGUUUGAGUAUCAUGAAAUCUUCAAAGUAAAUCUUUUGUUAACUCAAUUGGUUUCUACUUUGGUAUUGGAGGUCUUUGCAGCUUCACACCUGCUCCUCUUUGUUCAUUAGCUGGAUCUCAGUGUUAUGCUUGGUUCCACUCGGCGUGAUAAGUUAUCUAUCGCUGAGGACACUGUAAAAGGUGGCCAAGGUAAAUGCAGAUGAACCGCUUCUAAUAGUCCAUUGACUUGGACAAUACUUUUAUGAUCUGAUCUCAAAUCAGGUAGGACUACCCGCUGAACUUAAGC